RNAcentral lists this ribosomal RNA (497 nucleotides) under uncultured bacterium. Its description in RNAcentral is "partial 16S ribosomal RNA". It matches the Rfam family "Bacterial small subunit ribosomal RNA", at positions 28 to 507 of the family's 1533-position model. The record is from RNAcentral.
GAUGAACGCUGGCGGCGUGCCUAAUACAUGCAAGUCGAGCGAACGGACGAGAAGCUUGCUUUUCUGAUGUUAGCGGCGGACGGGUGAGUAACACGUUGAUAACCUACCUAUAAGACUGGGAUAACUUCGGGAAACCGGAGCUAAUACCGGAUAAUAUUUUGAACCGCAUGGUUCAAAAGUGAAAGACGGUCUUGCUGUCACUUAUAGAUGGAUCCGCGCUGCAUUAGCUAGUUGGUAAGGUAACAGCUUACCAAGGCAACGAUGCAUAGCCGACCUGAGAGGGUGAUCGGCCACACUGGAACUGAGACACGGUCCAGACUCCUACGGGAGGCAGCAGUAGGGAAUCUUCCGCAAUGGGCGAAAGCCUGACGGAGCAACGCCGCGUGAGUGAUGAAGGUCUUCGGAUCGUAAAACUCUGUUAUUAGGGAAGAACAUAUGUGUAAGUAACUGUGCACAUCUUGACGGUACCUAAUCAGAAAGCCACGGCUAACUACGUG